GGAUUUUAAACUCCCCAAAGCAUAGAUCCGAAGAUUCCCGAAUAGGUCAACCUUUCGAACUACUGCUGAAUCCAUGGGCAGGCAAGAGACAACCUGGGGAACUGAAACAUCUUAGUAGCUAGAGGAAAA
Long non-coding RNA from Telopea speciosissima, 129 nucleotides. RefSeq lists it as uncharacterized. NCBI's taxonomy places the organism in Eukaryota, Viridiplantae, Streptophyta, Magnoliopsida, Proteales, Proteaceae. The transcript is spliced from 3 exons. The record is from RefSeq and is a predicted model, not a curated record.